Molecule: ribosomal RNA, 456 nt
Filed under: uncultured bacterium
Lineage: Bacteria
Description: bacterial SSU rRNA
Rfam family: Bacterial small subunit ribosomal RNA
Source: RNAcentral
AACGAACGCUGGCGGCAUGCCUAACACAUGCAAGUCGAACGGGAUCCUAGCUUGCUAGGUGAGAGUGGCGGACGGGUGAGUAACACGUGGGAAUCUGCCUUUUGGUUCGGGAUAACCGCGGGAAACUGCGGCUAAUACCGAAUGCCCCUCGAGAGAGGAAAGAUUUAUCGCCAGAAGAGGAGCCCGCGUCCGAUUAGGUAGUUGGUGGGGUAAAGGCCUACCAAGCCGACGAUCGGUAGCUGGUCUGAGAGGAUGAUCAGCCACACUGGGACUGAGACACGGCCCAGACUCCUACGGGAGGCAGCAGUGGGAAUCUUAGACAAUGGGCGCAAGCCUGAUCUAGCCAUGCCGCGUGAGCGAUGAAGGCCUUAGGGUUGUAAAGCUCUUUCGUGGGGGAAGAUAAUGACGGUACCCCAAGAAGAAGCCCCCGGCUAACUCCGUGCCAGCAGCCGCGGU